UACGAAGGGGGCGAGCGUUGUUCGGAAUUACUGGGCGUAAAGCGCACGUAGUCGGCUUUGCAAGUCGGUUGUGAAAUCCCCGGGCUCAACCUGGGAACUGCAUCCGAGACUGCAUUGCUAGAGUAUGGGAGAGGAAAGCGGAAUUUCUGGUGUAGCAGUGAAAUGCGUAGAUAUCAGAAGGAACAUCAGUGGCGAAGGCGGCUUUCUGGACCAAUACUGACGAUCAGGUGCGAAAGCGUGGGGAGCAAACAGG
This 253-nucleotide ribosomal RNA is filed under the name uncultured bacterium. Its description in RNAcentral is "partial 16S ribosomal RNA". It matches the Rfam family "Bacterial small subunit ribosomal RNA", at positions 524 to 776 of the family's 1533-position model. The record is from RNAcentral.